GGGGGACCAUCCUCCAAGGCUAAAUACUCCUGACUGACCGAUAGUGAACCAGUACCGUGAGGGAAAGGCGAAAAGAACCCCUGUGAGGGGAGUGAAAUAGAACCUGAAACCGUGUACGUACAAGCAGUAGGAGCACCUUCGUGGUGUGACUGCGUACCUUUUGUAUAAUGGGUCAGCGACUUAUAUUCAGUGGCAAGGUUAACCGUAUAGGGGAGCCGUAGCGAAAGCGAGUCUUAACUGGGCGCUCAGUCUCUGGAUAUAGACCCGAAACCGGGUGAUCUAGCCAUGGGCAGGUUGAAGGUUGAGUAACAUCAACUGGAGGACCGAACCGACUAAUGUUGAAAAAUUAGCGGAUGACUUGUGGCUAGGGGUGAAAGGCCAAUCAAACUCGGAGAUAGCUGGUUCUCCCCGAAAGCUAUUUAGGUAGCGCCUCGGACGAAUACUACUGGGGGUAGAGCACUGUUAAGGCUAGGGGGUCAUCCCGACUUACCAACCCUUUGCAAACUCCGAAUACCAGUAAGUACUAUCCGGGAGACACACGGCGGGUGCUAACGUCCGUCGUGGAGAGGGAAACAACCCAGACCGCCAGCUAAGGUCCCAAAGUAUUGCUAAGUGGGAAACGAUGUGGGAAGGCUCAGACAGCUAGGAUGUUGGCUUAGAAGCAGCCAUCAUUUAAAGAAAGCGUAAUAGCUCACUAGUCGAGUCGGCCUGCGCGGAAGAUGUAACGGGGCUAAGCAAUACACCGAAGCUGCGGCAAUGUCUUUUAGACAUUGGGUAGGGGAGCGUUCUGUAAGCCGUUGAAGGUGAAUCGUAAGGUUUGCUGGAGGUAUCAGAAGUGCGAAUGCUGACAUGAGUAACGACAAAGGGGGUGAAAAACCUCCUCGCCGGAAGACCAAGGGUUCCUGUCCAACGUUAAUCGGGGCAGGGUGAGUCGACCCCUAAGGUGAGGCCGAAAGGCGUAAUCGAUGGGAAACGGGUUAAUAUUCCCGUACUUCUGACUAUUGCGAUGGGGGGACGGAGAAGGCUAGGUGGGCCAGGCGACGGUUGUCCUGGUUCAAGUGCGUAGGCUUGAGAGUUAGGUAAAUCCGGCUCUCUCUAAGGCUGAGACACGACGUCGAGCUACUACGGUAGUGAAGUCAUUGAUGCCAUGCUUCCAGGAAAAGCCUCUAAGCUUCAGAUAGUCAGGAAUCGUACCCCAAACCGACACAGGUGGUCGGGUAGAGAAUACCAAGGCGCUUGAGAGAACUCGGGUGAAGGAACUAGGCAAAAUGGUACCGUAACUUCGGGAGAAGGUACGCUCUUGAUGGUGAAGUCCCUCGCGGAUGGAGCUGACGAGAGUCGCAGAUACCAGGUGGCUGCAACUGUUUAUUAAAAACACAGCACUGUGCAAAAUCGCAAGAUGACGUAUACGGUGUGACGCCUGCCCGGUGCCGGAAGGUUAAUUGAUGGGGUUAGCGCAAGCGAAGCUCUUGAUCGAAGCCCCGGUAAACGGCGGCCGUAACUAUAACGGUCCUAAGGUAGCGAAAUUCCUUGUCGGGUAAGUUCCGACCUGCACGAAUGGCGUAAUGAUGGCCACGCUGUCUCCACCCGAGACUCAGUGAAAUUGAAAUCGCUGUGAAGAUGCAGUGUACCCGCGGCUAGACGGAAAGACCCCGUGAACCUUUACUACAGCUUGGCACUGAACAUUGAACCUACAUGUGUAGGAUAGGUGGGAG
This 1715-nucleotide ribosomal RNA is filed under the name Vibrio cholerae O1 biovar El Tor. RNAcentral's name for it is "bacterial LSU rRNA". It matches the Rfam family "Bacterial large subunit ribosomal RNA", at positions 447 to 2153 of the family's 2925-position model. The record is from RNAcentral. Lineage: Bacteria; Pseudomonadati; Pseudomonadota; Gammaproteobacteria; Vibrionales; Vibrionaceae.